Molecule: ribosomal RNA, 501 nt
Filed under: Megalebias wolterstorffi
Lineage: Eukaryota; Metazoa; Chordata; Actinopteri; Cyprinodontiformes; Rivulidae
Description: Austrolebias wolterstorffi partial 16S ribosomal RNA
Rfam family: Bacterial large subunit ribosomal RNA
Source: RNAcentral
CGCCUCUUGCAUACAUAUAAGANGGUCUUNGCCUGCCCAGUGACGCAAGUUUAACGGCCGCGGUAUUUUGACCGUGCAAAGGUAGCGUAAUCAAUCGUCUUUUAAAUGGAGACCUGUAUGAAUGGUGAAACGAAAACUCAACUGUCUCAUUCUUUUGACCAAUGAAAUUGAUCUCUCCGUGCGGAAGCGGGGAUAAACUCAUAAGACAAAAAGACCCUGUGGAGCUUUAGAUUUCUGCUUAUAUCUUAGAUUGGGGCGAUCGCGGAGAAAACACACCCUCCAUGAAGAAAUUCAUAAUUGAGAGCUACCGCUCUAAAUAUUAAAAUAUUUAACUUUAUGAACCGGCUUGCCGAUUAACGAACCCAGUUACCCCAGGGAUAACAGCGCAAUCCCCUUAAAGAGCACUUAUCACCAAGGGGGUUUACGACCUCGAUGUUGGAUCAGGACAUCCUAGUGGCGCAUCUACUAUUAAGGGUUCGUUUGUUCAACGAUUAAAGUCCU